RNAcentral lists this ribosomal RNA (321 nucleotides) under Bacteroides uniformis. RNAcentral's name for it is "partial 23S ribosomal RNA". It matches the Rfam family "Bacterial large subunit ribosomal RNA", at positions 44 to 374 of the family's 2925-position model. Lineage: Bacteria; Pseudomonadati; Bacteroidota; Bacteroidia; Bacteroidales; Bacteroidaceae. The record is from RNAcentral.
AGGCGAUGAAGGACGUGAUAAGCUGCGAUAAGCUGCGGGUAGGUGCAAAUGACCUUUGAUCCGCGGAUUUCCGAAUGGGACAACCCGGUACUUUGAAGAGGUACCAUUCCACAAUGUGGAAGGCUAACGCAGGGAACUGAAACAUCUUAGUACCUGCAGGAAAAGAAAAUAAACAAUGAUUCCCCCAGUAGUGGCGAGCGAACGGGGAACAGCCCAAACCACCCAUGUUACGGCAUGGGUGGGGUUGUAGGACCACGCCGUGGCAAGAAAGUUGGUGAGCAGAAUGUUCUGGAAAGUACAGCCAUAGAGCAUGACAGCUGC